GGGGAAAAAAGGGGGAGGGGGAAGUUUGCUGUACUGUAAAAGCCGGAGGAAAUUUUCAGGAAUGGAGAAGUUGGUCAAAAUGAUUUGUGGGAUAGUACUGAAGUGCAAAAACUGAAGGACCGACAGAUCAAGAAAGAGUGGUGUACUCUCUGGAAGCAUCAGACCUCAAUGAGUGUUUAUAUUUCUACCACAUGGUUCUAUAACAGUGAUAAUGAUAUGGCUGUCUUCAAAACUGUAUGAAGCAUUGUAGUAAGCCAGUCACAAGAAUGGAGGAGAAACGUUUUUCAUAGUUUUGGUGUUCUCCUAAGAUGUGCAGCAUGAGUAAUAAGAUAGACUCCCAUGAUGCUCAAAAGUCAAACCUUGUAGUCUGUUGUUGUAAACAUCCCCGACUGGAAGCUGUGAAAUGAAAUCCGAGCUUUCAGUCAGAUGUUUGCUGUUGCUGGCUGCAUUUUACUUCUCUGAGAAUUUGGGAAACAUGGCUGAAUAUUAAAUAUAUGCUCAUUUGUAGCAAAUAUUUUAAAUAUAUAGGAAUGUUACUGUUUUAGAUUAAAAGGUGUUUUUCACAAAAACAGCAAGCUUAUCCUGUUUGCAUUAUUACUAUGAAAUGGUUUAUAAAAAGUGCAUACCUGGCAUAUUCCCUGGUAUAUACUUGUUGUUGAUUGUCAUUAUUUGGAUACAAUAAUGGUGAAUUGAAAAACUGAAUCACUAUAAUAUAGUGACGCUGGUGCACAUCUGUAAAAAGCUUUAGGCCAACAUAGCUUGUCUAUUUCUGUUCAGGCAAGUAAACCCUUGGGUUGAAGAGAAGCAAGUCUUGUGAUAAUGAAAACCCUGUAUAAAAUUUGCAGAUCAUCUGGGUAAAGAGGUGCAGAUGGAGGGGUAGGUCAAGGAUUAAGCUGAAGAAAACAUGGAUAUCAUUUGAAAAUAGAAGAAAAGGUCUGGCUCCCUGAAACUCUCAAGACAGAGGUGGGAUUGGAAGGAAAAUUGUAUUAUCUGGGUACUUUUAAAUAAUCGGCUAUUAAUUGGAUAGAUCAGAAAAAUUUGUGGCACGUGUUUAGUGAUUACAAAAGUGUCCAUAUACUCAUUCUUCUGCACUCUUUACAAACAGGGGGAGAGUAACAUACAUUUUGACCACAUUUUUUAAGUUGUUUGCCUAAAGAUAUGUUCACUUAAUAAGUGGACACUUACCAACUUGCCUAUGCAGAGUUUGUGCAUUCACCACAUGUAGCUUUUCUCCAGGUACUCUGAUUUCCUCCCCCAUCACAUGACCACACCAAGUCUACUGGGAAUGGUUUCUGCUGCCUUUACAACAUCACGUUGGAA
Molecule: long non-coding RNA, 1320 nt
Organism: Polypterus senegalus (gray bichir)
Lineage: Eukaryota; Metazoa; Chordata; Cladistia; Polypteriformes; Polypteridae
Exons: 4
Source: RefSeq, a predicted model, not a curated record